Molecule: ribosomal RNA, 253 nt
Filed under: uncultured bacterium
Lineage: Bacteria
Description: partial 16S ribosomal RNA
Rfam family: Bacterial small subunit ribosomal RNA
Source: RNAcentral
GACGUAGGGCGCGAGCGUUGUCCGGAUUUAUUGGGCGUAAAGAGCUCGUAGGCGGCUUGUCGCGUCGUCCGUGAAAACCUGGGGCUCAACCCCAGGCUUGCGGUCGAUACGGGCAGGCUCGAGUUCGGUAGGGGAGACUGGAAUUCCUGGUGUAGCGGUGAAAUGCGCAGAUAUCAGGAGGAACACCGGUGGCGAAGGCGGGUCUCUGGGCCGAUAUUGACGCUGUGGAGCGAAAGCGUGGGGAGCGAACAGG